Molecule: ribosomal RNA, 731 nt
Filed under: Kocuria palustris
Lineage: Bacteria; Bacillati; Actinomycetota; Actinomycetes; Micrococcales; Micrococcaceae
Description: bacterial SSU rRNA
Source: RNAcentral
UGCUCAGGACGAACGCUGGCGGCGUGCUUAACACAUGCAAGUCGAACGCUGAAGCACCAGCUUGCUGGGUGUGGAUGAGUGGCGAACGGGUGAGUAAUACGUGAGUAACCUGCCCUUGACUCUGGGAUAAGCCCGGGAAACUGGGUCUAAUACUGGAUGCUACAUGUCACCGCAUGGUGGUGUGUGGAAAGGGUUUACUGGUCUUGGAUGGGCUCACGGCCUAUCAGCUUGUUGGUGAGGUAAUGGCUCACCAAGGCGACGACGGGUAGCCGGCCUGAGAGGGUGACCGGCCACACUGGGACUGAGACACGGCCCAGACUCCUACGGGAGGCAGCAGUGGGGAAUAUUGCACAAUGGGCGAAAGCCUGAUGCAGCGACGCCGCGUGAGGGAUGACGGCCUUCGGGUUGUAAACSUCUUUCAGCAGGGAAGAAGCCACAAGUGACGGUACCUGCAGAAGAAGCGCCGGCUAACUACGUGCCAGCAGCCGCGGUAAUACGUAGGGCGCAAGCGUUGUCCGGAAUUAUUGGGCGUAAAGAGCUCGUAGGCGGUUUGUCGCGUCUGCUGUGAAAGCCCGGGGCUUAACCCCGGGUGUGCAGUGGGUACGGGCAGACUAGAGUGCAGUAGGGGAGACUGGAAUUCCUGGUGUAGCGGUGGAAUGCGCAGAUAUCAGGAGGAACACCGAUGGCGAAGGCAGGUCUCUGGGCUGUUACUGACGCUGAGGAGCGAAAGC